CGUGGUUCCCUUUUGCACCGUCUCCGAUCAUGACGAUCGUAGUUGCCUCGUUGAAGCACCGAACGCCUCCUCUCCAUAGAUACGGCGCCUUUCUCUUGCGUUAAGUUUCUUGUCCUCUUCUUUUCUCUCCCUUCCCGGCGGCGGUUCGUUAGGGUUUGUUGCGACACCAAGAAGCUGCGUUCGUAGGAUGAUCACCCGAUCAUAGGCUCGUCUUUCCGCUCCAGCAUCCUCGUCAGGCAAAUCUCUGCAUUCACUUUGAUCUUUUCUUUACAUCUAAUCCAAAAAUCUGUUCGUUUUCUUACCAGUGAUUGGAUUUGUAAUAGUUCAUCCUAUGGUGUAAUGAUUCCAUCUCAAUACGUGGUUUAGAAAGAGAUUUCUAUUUGCAA
Molecule: long non-coding RNA, 386 nt
Organism: Musa acuminata AAA Group (dessert banana)
Lineage: Eukaryota; Viridiplantae; Streptophyta; Magnoliopsida; Zingiberales; Musaceae
Exons: 2
Source: RefSeq, a predicted model, not a curated record